RNAcentral lists this ribosomal RNA (348 nucleotides) under uncultured bacterium. RNAcentral describes it as "bacterial SSU rRNA". It matches the Rfam family "Bacterial small subunit ribosomal RNA", at positions 917 to 1269 of the family's 1533-position model. The record is from RNAcentral.
GGGCCCGCACAAGCGGUGGAGCAUGUGGUUUAAUUCGAUGAUACGCGAGGAACCUUACCAGGGCUUAAAUGUAAGUUGCAUUAGUUAGAGAUAGCUAUUUCUUCGGACCACUUACAAGGUGCUGCAUGGUUGUCGUCAGCUCGUGCCGUGAGGUGUCAGGUUAAGUCCUAUAACGAGCGCAACCCCUGUUGUUAGUUGCCAGCGAGUAAUGUCGGGAACUCUACGAAACUGCCAGUGCAAACUGUGAGGAAGGUGGGGAUGACGUCAAAUCAUCACGGCCCUUACGUCCUGGCUACACACGUGCUACAAUGGUCGGUACAGAGAGCAGCCACUACGCGAGUAGGAGCG